CAGUACAAACUGAGCAGGCGAUGCCCAGAAGGGCGUGGGGCCGGGCCGCCCAGCGAGCGGCAGCAGAGUGUGUUUGAGGCACCUGCGGGACAGU
This 94-nucleotide non-coding RNA is filed under the name human gut metagenome. RNAcentral describes it as "NiCo riboswitch". It matches the Rfam family "NiCo (Nickel/Cobalt) riboswitch aptamer". The record is from RNAcentral.